Non-coding RNA from Datura stramonium (jimsonweed), 72 nucleotides. The record is from the annotation of a GenBank genome assembly. NCBI's taxonomy places the organism in Eukaryota, Viridiplantae, Streptophyta, Magnoliopsida, Solanales, Solanaceae.
UCCUCAGUAGCUCAGUGGUAGAACGGUCGAAUGUUAACCGAUUGGUCGUAAGUUAGAAUCAUACUUUGGGAG